UCUAAGAAGCAGCCGAGUUCCGCUUGCAGAGAGCGGGAGCGGGGGAACCACUGGGAGCGACGAGAGACGCUCCCCGGGGCGCAGGUGGGUACACCCACCGGGGCACGUUCAAGCCCUAGCCCGUCAGCUAACCUCGUAGGCCGGCGCGGGAGCGUCU
This 157-nucleotide small RNA is filed under the name Gemmata sp. SH-PL17. RNAcentral describes it as "c-di-AMP riboswitch aptamer (ydaO/yuaA leader)". It matches the Rfam family "c-di-AMP riboswitch aptamer (ydaO/yuaA leader)". From Rfam's summary of the family: This family represents a conserved RNA structure found upstream of the ydaO and yuaA genes in Bacillus subtilis and related genes in other bacteria. Lineage: Bacteria; Pseudomonadati; Planctomycetota; Planctomycetia; Gemmatales; Gemmataceae. RNAcentral also lists the same sequence under 1 other name. The record is from Rfam by way of RNAcentral.